UUUUUGCUAUAACUAACACUUCGUCCAUUUUUCUAUAUGGGCAAUUCGUUGCACUGUAAUCAAUCCUCGGCCUUGUAAAUUCUGUCCUUGUCACUUCCGGUAGUGCUCUUCGAUUGUCGAGCGUCACGGAAUAUCGAUCGAUCGAUCAACGUACUGUUCGAUGUUCGAGAUAGAACUAAAUUCGAAUUCGAAAUUCAUCUACUAGAGAAUACUUUCUUUUCUAGUUUCUUUAGUCGUCAACUUUUUGAAAAAAUCGGAAAAUUGGUUAUAGUACUGCGAUCAAACUCGAAAUAAAAUUUGAUCGUAACUUUGCGAAAUCGAAUCGUGGUUCACGGUUUCGGAAGAUAGCCAAAAUGAAAAACAAAAUCAGGCAUCCAACAGUACGAAUUAACGAAUUAACAUCGAUUGACGUUAUGAAAAAUAUUGAAAAGAGAUCGUUAAUCAAGCUGGACGUAUUGAUAUCGUUGGGAUUGUAGAUUAGGAUCAGGUUUCCGUGGCGCUCGUGGCUCGACGAGCCGAUCUAUUGCGAACUCUCGUAAAAUUCGACGCGAGCCAGAAAAAAGUAAACGCGACGAACACGAAUGAUCCUCGCCAACGUUCUUGUUCUUGUCAUUUUCAAUUUCGAGCGAUCGUCGACGACCAUCGUAGAGGAUCGUACGAGACCUCAGCUUCGAUUGAAAUUCACAUCAUAAUCGCUUACUUUUAACUAUCCUGAUCCUGAAAUAUUUCCUCGUAAGCUGAUCCAUCCAACGAUUCUGUAAAUAUCUACUUCCAUAGAGACUUUGAAUAAUUUCGAUAAAGGAUAUCUUGGAAAUUGCUGAAGGUUUCAGGGUCAGUAGAAAAUUCAUGAUUAUGUACGUAUAAUUACCUUUCUAAGUGGCACGAGUUUGAAAUCCCUCUCUUACCACUUAGAAGGAUACUGCUUUUAGGAUUUCACUUUAUUAUCUGUCCCUCCGCUAACUCACUUUUAAACUUUCUGAUGGACUAGAGUAAAAAUGCGAUGGAAGACAGUUAGAAUAAGUGUAUUACUUAUUUUAGGAAAUUUGGUGAGCAAGUAGCGAGGAUGAUGACUCGUUACUAAAACAGGUAUAGAGUUUUAAAAAAGAGGAGAAAUCGAGUCGAAGAAAGUAUCGAUGCUGAGUUUCUUUUAGAAGCGUGGAACCAUUUAUGCAAGAACAUGUCGACGACGACCGCUCAGAAAUAGUAAUAAUAAAAAAAAAUCGUAUCAUCGAGAGAUCAAAUUGUAGCAUCGAAUGAAGCCUGGCUAGAAUACUCAAAGGAAAGCUGCUUUCGAACUUAUAAUAAAAAAAGUUUAAAAUUUAAA
Osmia lignaria (orchard mason bee) is the source of this 1324-nucleotide non-coding RNA. Lineage: Eukaryota; Metazoa; Arthropoda; Insecta; Hymenoptera; Megachilidae. The record is from RefSeq and is a predicted model, not a curated record.